This 4665-nucleotide long non-coding RNA is filed under the name Brassica napus (rape). RNAcentral's name for it is "long non-coding RNA (BNAP_LNC003334)". The record is from RNAcentral. Lineage: Eukaryota; Viridiplantae; Streptophyta; Magnoliopsida; Brassicales; Brassicaceae.
GGUUGUGAAGUAGAGUACAAUCUUGUCUUCUGCUUUGGCCUGUGUAGUACUCAGUGCACUAGCGGGCAAAGCUUUCUUGUAAGAAGAGACAAUGAUAGGAUCUAAACCAGACAAGAAAGAUUCUUCAGACAAAUGCUUCCAAAGAGGUUGCUUUGGUUUAUAAGAUAGUGGGACCCAACCAUCUUCUACUUCUUGUUCGACUCUCACGACUUCGUAAGACUCGUCUAGUUUCAAAGCCGACACAUUCGGAUCCGGGUCGGGUUUAGGGAAAAGAUCCGAAUCUAGAUUGGAGAUAGGCUUACCAAGUUUAGGGCUUUCGAAUUCGAACUCGUAAGAUUCGUCAAGUUUCAACGCAGACACAAUCCGAUCCGGGUCGGGUAUAGGGCAAAGAUCCGAAUCUAGACUGGAGAUAGGCUUACCGAGUUUAGGGCAUUCGAAUUCGAAUUCAUCGUCGUCUAAGCCGUCCAUAAGCUCCCACGUGUUGAUGACUGAGUCAGGAGAGAACGAGUCGAGUGAGACCGGGUCUGGACCGGAGAUUGAGAUACGAUCGGAGGCGGUUUUGGAUCCUUCGAGGUCGAUGAGGAGGAGAGAACCGUACGAGGUGGAGGUGAGGGAGACGAGGUGGUGAGUGUCGCCUUUUCUUGCCGGGGGGUGGUGAACCAACGGCGUUGGGAAAGAGAAAGCUCUGUGGAUCGCCGGAGAAGGUGAACUCAUCGUCGUAGAAGAAGCGGUUUUGGAAGCAGAAGAACCCAUUUGAGCCACUGAUGAGGUUUGAAAGUUAGUUUCUGGGUUCUUGAUUGAUGGAGAAGAGAAGAAGAAAGGUAGAGAGAGAGAGAGGUGGAGAAUAGCUGUCUAUGGCAGUUGGAGAUGGUGAGGUUAUUUAAUGGCGGAAGAACGAUAUGGUGGUGUUGAUUUUCCUACAACCAAUUCUCGAUUUGAUUUUGAUUUUGAUUUUGUAAGAAGAAGUUGUCUAUAAGUUGGGCAAUAUUUAUAAUCUAAUUAUUUAAGAUUAGAGGCGAGAACAGAAAUGAAAAAUUAAAUUAAAAUGUCAUUAUCUAUGUAACCACAAUCUUUAUCAUUUUAACUAGGUGCGUAAUUUAAAAUUAAAUAAAUUUUAUUAAAUAUUAUAGAUUUUACUAUUUUCUUACUAAUAUUUAAUAUAGAUUUGAUAUAUAUUAAAUCAAUUUGUAUAAAAUUAAUAAAAAUAAUAUAAAAUUGUAUAAUUAUCAAAUAUUUAACCUAAACAAUAUUUAUAAAAUUUGUAGAUAUAUAAGACUAAUGAUCUUACGAUUAGAUAUUUAAAUUUUAUGAGGGAAAAUAUCAAAAUAUGUAGGAAUUUUUUUUCUAUGGUGCAUGGAAAGAUUUUCCUCAUAUUUUGAUGUUUUAUUUCAUUAUGUGUAAAGUUUUAUUAUUUAUAAAUUAGUCUUUAAAUUUUUUGUAAUUUUGUUUUAUAUAAACUUAUUUUUAUGAGAAAAGGGAAGGCAAUUAUUGGAGAUGCCGUAGUAUGAAAAUUGUGGUGGAAUAGAUGAACAAUAUGAAUAAAAUGUAUAUCUACAAAUGAAAUAUAUUGAAAUGGAAUCAGGUUGUCUUUUCUAUUAUAAACACCAUGUUUGGUAGACUCCAUUAAAAUAUCUAAUCCACCAAGAUAAUAACGUUUUAGCCUCAAUUAGAAGAAUAUAGAAGAGGAACAAGAAGCUAACUGAAAAUUACAAACUAUAACUAGAAAAAACCAGUAUAAAGAAACUGAUGGGAAAAAACAAACAGAAGAAGCAAUAAUUCAAGUCAGGUGAGUUGUUGGCUGGGUCACAUGGGACGCAGGGGGUGGGGGUCAUGGCUUAAUGUGCAUUGAUUCCCUCUCUCUGAUAUUUACAGUUAUGAGUUAUGUCGUCCCUUAAUCAGAUCCAUUAGUUAAAUCAAACAAAGUUAGUAAGACAUACUUAUUAAUUAGUCAUUUUUCAUUGGCGCAUUCAACACCAUAUGAGCAAUGUGAUAUGCUGGCGUGAAAACGAACUCUUAUGUGAAAACGUUAUCAUCUCUCACACACGUUGAAUACUUUGAUAUCAGUUACUACUGUUUGAAUAUUGGCAUGUUCUUUUCGAGGCACACGUUUCUAAUGCAACAUCGCAAGAGAGAUACUCAUAAAUUGAGCCACUGACAAACUCCUUCCAGGCGUGUCCAAAGAUGGUGACCAAUUAUAUAUCACCGGUUUGACCAUCUCCGAACAUUGGUUUACGCCUUUGGCAUUGGUGUUCUCUGCAAUACCCAUAAUCUCUACCUUCUUAAUAUUCUCUCACUAAAUGAAUAAAAUCUUGACUUAGUUUUGGCAGUGGAUUAUUCGUUACAAAGGAUACGAUACUAGGCUGAAGCUCAUUGCUCCAUAGCUGUUGAGCACUCGCUAGAGCCUCCGUCGACGAGCUAGGGUAGCAUUACGAUUUAAUUAUUCAUCUCAACAUAUAUAUAGAACAAUAAACUAUGUACUAGUCAAAACUCGUAAAAGAAAAGGAGGAGAUGUUGGAUCUAGGUCACAUGGGACGCAAUGGUGAUUCAUGUGCUUUGUUUCUUUUUUUAAUUACACACCUCACUUUGUUGCUAUCCGGGUCCGAUCCACAAGCUCUACAAGACAAACCUAAAACCCAUUAUUGUUUUUGUAGUCCUGUACUUUCUUACAUUUAGAGACUACAGUUAUAAUGCCGAUUACUUAGAUUAUUACAAAUUAUAAAAAUUACAAGACAAUUUCAAAGCUGAUAAUUAUGAAUUGUGAAGAUUUAUAUCUGAUUACACCAUCUGGAAUGUCUUAUGAAUUUGAAAAUCUCACAUAAAUAUUUUUCAUUAAUCUGAACAAUUCGUCUUUUCUUAAACUAGUAACUCAAAUCUAUUGAUGCAAAAAACUUAAUGAUUUUUUAAUACAAUCCUUAGACCAUCUCCAAUGGUACUCUAUAAUUUUCUCUAUAUUUCACUCUAAAAUAGAGUAACUCUAUUAUAGAGUUGGAUUUGCUCCAAUGGUUCACUCUAUAAUAGAGUUACUCUAUAAUAGAGUGAAAUAUAGAGUAUUCUUAUUUUUUCACUCUAUAUUUGGAGUAAAAAAAUAAGAUUACUCUAUAUUUCACUCUAUUAUAGAGUAACUCUAUUAUAGAGUGAACCAUUGGAGCAAAUUUAACUCUAUAAUAGAAUUACUCUAUUUUAGUGUAAAUUAUAGAGGAAAAAAUAGAGUGCCCUUGGAGAUGCUCUUACAUCUACUGUUGCUGAAGUAGGCAUAUGGAAGUCCAACACAUUUUAAUCUCUUCACCUUUUUCAGAACAGUAGCUGGCUUUCUGCCUUCUCUAGCCUCUGGUGUUACCAUCAUGAGCGAGACCUGAGACCCUGAAUAUAUAUAUAUAUAUAUAUAUAUCAUUUAAACAGGAACCAAAAGCGGUUUGAGACCCUAUACAGCCUUCUCUUCAGCUCUUUAUUGGGUGAAAUAGCUAAACCAUCAAGCGGUUCACCAAUACUUUCUUAAAAAUGAUGAGACUUUAGUGGAAAGUUAUUCAACUCGUCUGGUAGCCCAACAAAAAGGAUAGAAGAGCAAGUAACAAAAAGGAUAGAAGAGCAACUCUCCUGUCAUGAUAAGACCAAAAUUUACAGCAAUCAAGCAAGACAGCAGACAAUUAUAUUCUAUACAUUGUUCAGAGAGUAACAACACCCACUAAGACAUGAAAGAGAAAAUUCCUCUGUACAAAGAUAAAUUUACUUCAAUUCAAAUUCGUUACGUUAUAACACGACCGAUGAGUGGGGUUGUCCUGAAUAAGAGGUAGACUAAUUGGGAAACCAAUAACAUCUUAGUAAUAAUUAGCUUGCCUUGAAGCCAUUUCUUAUUGUAAUAUACAAAUACUAAACCCAAUACCAAUAAGACUUGUUCACCUCUCACAAUUCAUACAAUCACUCUAAACCCCCUUACACCCACACUUUACUUAGAUACAACACUCAAGACAACGCACCAAUCCAUUCUCAUUGCACUUCGAACACCGCUUGAACAUUUCGUCUUCCUCCUCAAACACUUUAGUACUACCAUCACAGUUGUUACAAGGCACAAACCUUGCAUCACCACAGCUCCUGCAUGUCCCCAAGCAUUCACAAACAGAGAAGCCUUUCAACAUCUCAGCUAACUCGCCGCUAUCGUUUAGCUUCAUAACCUCCUCGACUCCACCAAUGUGGGUAUCCCCGAUAAACACCUGAGGCAAACAAACCGGUUUCUCCGCAUCCCCGAGCGUGCUUUGAAGCUCUUUCCUGUAUUUAGAAUCCAUUGAGAUGUCACGCUCGUCUACAGUCACUUGAAACCCUUUUAAUAUCGUUCUAACGCAACAGCAGUCCUCGUAAGUCUUUCGAAUCCCUCUGAGGGUUGUGAAGUAGAGUACAAUCUUGUCUUCUGCUUUGGCCUGUGUAGUACUCAGUGCACUAGCGGGCAAAGCUUUCUUGUAAGAAGAGACAAUGAUAGGAUCUAAACCAGACAAGAAAGAUUCUUCAGACAAAUGCUUCCAAAGAGGUUGCUUUGGUUUAUAAGAUAGUGGGACCCAACCAUCUUCUACUUCUUGUUCGACUCUCACGACUUCGUAAGACUCGUCUAGUUUCAAAGCCGACACAUUCGGAUCCGGGUCGGGUUUAGGGAAAAGAUCCGAAUCUAAACUUGAG